RNAcentral lists this ribosomal RNA (460 nucleotides) under uncultured bacterium. RNAcentral describes it as "partial 16S ribosomal RNA". It matches the Rfam family "Bacterial small subunit ribosomal RNA", at positions 338 to 795 of the family's 1533-position model. The record is from RNAcentral.
CCUACGGGAGGCAGCAGUGAGGAAUAUUGGUCAAUGGGCGCGAGCCUGAACCAGCCAAGUAGCGUGAAGGAUGACUGCCCUACGGGUUGUAAACUUCUUUUAUAAAGGAAUAAAGUGAGGCACGUGUGCCUCUUUGUACGUACUUUAUGAAUAAGGAUCGGCUAACUCCGUGCCAGCAGCCGCGGUAAUACGGAGGAUCUGGGCGUUUUCCGGAUUUAUUGGGUUUAAAGGGAGCGUAGAUGGGUUGUUAAGUCAGUUGUGAAAGUUUGCGGCUCAACCGUAGAAUUGCAGUUGAUACUGGCAGCCUUGAGUACAGUUGAGGUAGGCGGAAUUCGUGGUGUAGCGGUGAAAUGCUUAGAUAUCACGAAGAACUCCGAUUGCGAAGGCAGCUUACUAAACUGCCACUGACGUUGAUGCUCGAAAGUGUGGGUAUCAAACAGGAUUAGAUACCCGUGUAGUC